Molecule: transfer RNA, 69 nt
Filed under: Acroneuria hainana
Lineage: Eukaryota; Metazoa; Arthropoda; Insecta; Plecoptera; Perlidae
Description: tRNA-Gln
Rfam family: tRNA
About the family: Transfer RNA (tRNA) molecules are approximately 80 nucleotides in length. Their secondary structure includes four short double-helical elements and three loops (D, anti-codon, and T loops).
Source: RNAcentral
UAUGAUUUAGUGUAGGGUGCACAAAAGUUUUUGAAACUUUAGGGAAUAGUUCAAGUCUAUUAGCCAUAA